UACGUAGGGUGCAGGCGUUAAUCGGAAUUACUGGGCGUAAAGCGUGCGUAGGUGGUUUGUUAAGUCUGAUGUGAAAGCCCUGGGCUCAACCUGGGAACUGCAUUGGAAACUGGCUUACUAGAGUGCGGUAGAGGGGUGUGGAAUUCCCGGUGUAGCAGUGAAAUGCGUAGAUAUCGGGAGGAACAUCUGUGGCGAAGGCGACACCCUGGACCAGCACUGACACUGAGGCACGAAAGCGUGGGGAGCAAACAGG
RNAcentral lists this ribosomal RNA (253 nucleotides) under uncultured bacterium. RNAcentral's name for it is "partial 16S ribosomal RNA". It matches the Rfam family "Bacterial small subunit ribosomal RNA", at positions 524 to 776 of the family's 1533-position model. The record is from RNAcentral.